Molecule: microRNA, 22 nt
Filed under: Salmo salar (Atlantic salmon)
Lineage: Eukaryota; Metazoa; Chordata; Actinopteri; Salmoniformes; Salmonidae
Description: ssa-miR-155-3p
Gene: ssa-miR-155-3p
Source: miRBase by way of RNAcentral
CACCUAGCAUGUAAGCAUUAGC